UGCCUGGGGCUCGCGGUGGGACGGCUGCGCUGGGCCGGCGGGCGGAGACCUGCCGCUGCCCCGCACUGGCUGUGUAGACGCGCAACCCCCGCCCCACAAGCCUCUACCCCCAGCUUUUCAAGUCAAGCUUCUGCUGCUUUUGAGCCAGUGUGGAGAGCAGAGGACAGGUUUGAUAUGCUCCCAGUAGCCUUCCAUAGUCCCCUAUUAAGAAUGAAGGAGAAAAUCAUGUGUUGUUCUUUGGGUGAAAAAUAAAUAAAUAAAACCAGAAAGAUUAUAAGCAAAGGCAAGAUUUAAUCUAUAAGGAGGCAGCAUUGCACUUGCUAGUUCCUUAAAUGGAUGAUAUGGCACACUGUGCGUGUGCGUAGUCACAGUAUAUGGUGCUUUAAAACAGACGUUGGAAGAAAAUCAUGGAGAAGUUUAGAAGAUAAAUGUCAUACAUUUGUACUGAGAUUUCUGUAGUGAAAAUAGACACCCCUCCCACCCCCAAAGUAGCUGCUAUUACUUUCGCUACAACUUCUUUCCUCUGGACUUCUAGUAGGAAUCCACUGCAUUUGAGUAAAGCAGAAAGACUGGAGGUGGAUCAUUGCUCUUGCCCUUGAAAAUGGCUUCUGAAGCAAGCAAGGCAGUUCAUAGCAUCAAAAUUAUUCGCUCUUUUGAACAUGCAGCUGGUUCCUUAUUCGGCCUCUCCAUAGUGCUAAAUGUUUCCCCUUAAACAACAUAGUCACCAUCAGAGCGUGGCAUGGGUUUGGUUUGGAUUGCGAGUUGUGGCUUUAACUGCAGACAGCAAGAGAGCCUCUUCAGAUCCUUACUUAGAAGCUUCCAUCAUAGAAUGCAUAUUACUCUAUAAACAGAAAUUUAAAGAUGCCAGACACUAGGUGGAAUGUUGUUGUAGAUUCUUCAU
This is a long non-coding RNA of Dermochelys coriacea (leatherback sea turtle), 901 nucleotides long. RefSeq lists it as uncharacterized. The record is from RefSeq and is a predicted model, not a curated record. The transcript has 2 exons. NCBI's taxonomy places the organism in Eukaryota, Metazoa, Chordata, Testudines, Dermochelyidae.